RNAcentral lists this ribosomal RNA (368 nucleotides) under Escherichia coli. RNAcentral's name for it is "bacterial SSU rRNA". It matches the Rfam family "Bacterial small subunit ribosomal RNA", at positions 603 to 970 of the family's 1533-position model. Lineage: Bacteria; Pseudomonadati; Pseudomonadota; Gammaproteobacteria; Enterobacterales; Enterobacteriaceae. The record is from RNAcentral.
CCGGGCUCAACCUGGGAACUGCAUCUGAUACUGGCAAGCUUGAGUCUCGUAGAGGGGGGUAGAAUUCCAGGUGUAGCGGUGAAAUGCGUAGAGAUCUGGAGGAAUACCGGUGGCGAAGGCGGCCCCCUGGACGAAGACUGACGCUCAGGUGCGAAAGCGUGGGGAGCAAACAGGAUUAGAUACCCUGGUAGUCCACGCCGUAAACGAUGUCGACUUGGAGGUUGUGCCCUUGAGGCGUGGCUUCCGGAGCUAACGCGUUAAGUCGACCGCCUGGGGAGUACGGCCGCAAGGUUAAAACUCAAAUGAAUUGACGGGGGCCCGCACAAGCGGUGGAGCAUGUGGUUUAAUUCGAUGCAACGCGAAGAACC